Long non-coding RNA from Brachypodium distachyon (stiff brome), 675 nucleotides. RefSeq lists it as uncharacterized. Lineage: Eukaryota; Viridiplantae; Streptophyta; Magnoliopsida; Poales; Poaceae. The transcript has 2 exons. The record is from RefSeq and is a predicted model, not a curated record.
AACGCCGCCGCAUGCAAAACAGCCCGUUAUUUCGUCACGGCAAGGAUUCCUCGAUCUCAUCCCAUCGGGAGCCCAGGGCCUCCACCGCCGCCUGCCUUCCGCUUGCCCGUGCCCCGUCACGCGCCUGUCUGCGCCCGUGCCCGCGCCUCGCCCAACACCGCCUGCUUCCUUCCUUUCGCACAGGCGGUGACCGGGGCGAGAUGCCACGUUCUCAUCCACCGCCUUCCACGGCCGCCACCUUCCCGCAUCACGCCUGGAGCCCAAUCAAUCGCCUCACCUCCGACGACCACCCCGCCACAAGAACAAGACGAGAUUAUUUUACAACGGAGCAUCAAGAGCAUGCAGCAAUCGCCAAAUCACACCCGCCGCCGCCGCCGUUCCUCAAUUCCGCAAAGUUCUUGAUAUUGAUACAUAUGAGGUCCGAGAUUGUCGCCCAAUCUAUGACGACAACCACAGAGAUGCACAGUGAUCAAUUGGAGAGGAAGAAAGCAAGUGAAAGACUAGGGUUGGGUGGAGAAAUGUGUUCUACGAAGAGAAAGAAUUGGAUCAAUGCACAGUGAUCAGAAGAGAGGACUAAAUGAGUGAAAUGUACUAGCAUCUGGCACAUAUUUGAUAACUUGACAUAGGAUUAUGCUUAAUUCGCUAUUUACAUGUCAUUUUAUGGUUCCGCACUUA